Molecule: ribosomal RNA, 338 nt
Filed under: Amblyomma sp. AMP-2014
Lineage: Eukaryota; Metazoa; Arthropoda; Arachnida; Ixodida; Ixodidae
Description: partial 12S ribosomal RNA
Source: RNAcentral
AUUAUUAAGAAAUUAAUAUUGUUAGUAUAUAAUAAUUAUGAAAACAAAAAAUUAUGGCGGUACUUUAAGCUUUUCAGAGGAAUUUGCUCUUUUAUGGAUAAAACACCAAAAUCUUACUAAAACUAGUUAAAUCAGUUUGUAUACCACUAUAAAAGUAAUAAUUAAUUAUUAUUACUUUAACUUUAUUAAAAAAAAAUAAAUUAAGUCAUGGUGCAGCAUAAGUUUUAGAAUGAAGUGAAUUACAUUUCUUUUUAGAAAUCAUAAAUUAAAAAACAAUUAGGAUUUGAAAGUAAAAAUUUAAUAGAAUGAAGUUUUGAAUAAAGUUCUGAAGUAUGUAC